RNAcentral lists this ribosomal RNA (726 nucleotides) under uncultured bacterium. Its description in RNAcentral is "bacterial SSU rRNA". It matches the Rfam family "Bacterial small subunit ribosomal RNA", at positions 94 to 823 of the family's 1533-position model. The record is from RNAcentral.
AGCGGCGAACGGGUGAGUAACACGUAGGUGAUCUGCCCAUCAGACGGGGACAACGAUUGGAAACGAUCGCUAAUACCGGAUAGGACGAAAGUUUAAAGGUGCUUCUGGCACCGCUGAUGGAUGAGCCUGCGGCGCAUUAGCUAGUUGGUAGGGUAAAGGCCUACCAAGGCGACGAUGCGUAGCCGACCUGAGAGGGUGAACGGCCACACUGGGACUGAGACACGGCCCAGACUCCUACGGGAGGCAGCAGUAGGGAAUCUUCGGCAAUGGGCGAAAGCCUGACCGAGCAACGCCGCGUGAAUGAUGAAGGCCUUCGGGUUGUAAAAUUCUGUUAUAAGGGAAGAACGACUUUAGUAGGAAAUGGCCAGAGUGUGACGGUACCUUAUGAGAAAGCCACGGCUAACUACGUGCCAGCAGCCGCGGUAAUACGUAGGUGGCGAGCGUUAUCCGGAAUUAUUGGGCGUAAAGAGCGCGCAGGUGGUUGAUUAAGUCUGAUGUGAAAGCCCACGGCUUAACCGUGGAGGGUCAUUGGAAACUGGUCGACUUGAGUGCAGAAGAGGGAAGUGGAAUUCCAUGUGUAGCGGUGAAAUGCGUAGAGAUAUGGAGGAACACCAGUGGCGAAGGCGGCUUCCUGGUCUGUAACUGACACUGAGGCGCGAAAGCGUGGGGAGCAAACAGGAUUAGAUACCCUGGUAGUCCACGCCGUAAACGAUGAGUGCUAAGUGU